CGGGGCCCCCGCUCCGCUCCGCUCCGCGCCCCCCGCCCGGCCCCCGGCGGGGACAGCCCUGCCCGCCCCCGGCGGGACGAGGCGGGAGGGAAGUGAGGGAACCCGGCCGCCCGCUGGGCUCCCCCGGCCCCAAAAUGGUGGGAGCCGCUUCGCCCCGCCCCCGAGCGCGGUGUUUGUUUGUGUUCCGGCCAUGGCGGAGCCAGCGGCCGCUCGGGCCCGGCGGGACGGGACAGGACGGGAAAACACAGGACAAGGCGGAGCGGGGCGGCUCCUCCGUGGCGGCCGCGGGGACCUCCCGCACCACCCGGCCCGCCCCGGCUGGGGGUGGGCUGUGCGAGGCCGAGGGACCUUCCCAAGGGUUCCCCCGCGAGUGGGUUCUCGGGCAGGGAAUCCCUGUGCUGAUCGCUGGCGUGACCCCAGUGGGCACAGGCCAGUGUAGGGACAGGGCACUGAGCCCCAGUGUGGAGCAAAACCAGCGGCUGUCACUUGUCUCGCUUUUACGUUUCUAGAGGCUUUUUACGUGAUUAGCAGAUACUAAUAUAAACCAUGUAUUUAGCUCCUUUUCUUUCUGAAAAAAUGUAUUCACACUUGCAUAUAAAUAUAGGUAAGUACAGAUAAAUGCACGUUUCAGGAAAGCGAAUGCCCCUAUGUCACUGUUGGUGUGCCAGCCCUGACCCACACAGAGGGGAAUGGCACUGCCUUACAGGAUGAUCCUAUAAAUGUUCUUUCCAGCUUUAUCAUCUGUGAUGGUUCUUCAAAAUCCUUCUUUGGCUUCCAGAUCCAUGCCAUGGGAAAUAUUUUAAAAUCCGUUUUUUAAACUGAAGUAUUUUUUAAAGUGAAGCAAAUUUGGUACAGACCAGCUGGAAGGUUCUGUCUGUAAAGCUGUACCGUGUGGCUGCUUCUUAUCAGCAAGUUCUCUGCUGAUACAGGUCAGCCCUGCUUUGCACCAGACCUCCUGUCUGGGUCAGAGUAUCUACUCACAGUGAUGAGUUUGGCUCCACAAUCUUUGCUGGUGGACGUCAGUCUGGGAACAGACUUUUUGCUGAUUACCCAUAUAAGUUCUUUCUUGGAGAUUUCAUUUUCUUGCUGCUUAGGGAGUUUUGUUUUGCUGCUUAUCAACGGAUUAGCUAAACAACCACAGUGCAAAAUCUGUCAUUGCUGCCAUUUAUGGUGUUCCAACACAGUUUCAGGCUUUUCUAGGAAACUGAAACUGAAAAUGGUGCAGGAAUUGUGAGUGUUGCUCAAGAUAAAGAGGCUUUGCAAUGGCGCGUUGCUGUAAAUAAUGACUGUUUUACAUUACUUGCUCAUUUGCGUGUUUAUCCUAUGAGUCUGCUGGCUUGGUUUAACAGAAUUGGGCAAGCAGUUGUUGGAGAGGAUUCAGCCUCACCCAGUCCUGGUUUCAAGGUUAAGGCAAUGUCAGAAGUGUUUGCUGUGAGAACCUGGUGGUGAAAAUCCAGUGCUAUUUUCAGUUGUAUUUUCAGUUGGUAUUUUCAGUUGUGCAGUGGCAACAUUGGGAAUGAGAUUAUGGGCCACUAGAAAGACUUCUUUAUUUCAGAUGACAUUUCAUAUUUUGUUCUCUCUGUGAGGCUUUGGCCUGUGUCAUUGGUGUAGCUCAGUGUAGACCACAGGCAUGUGCCCCACUGUGGCUUGGAGUCCUGAUCUGAGGAGGUCCUGUGGGAGCAUAUGGUGCCUCCCUGCUGGCUGACAUGCCGAGAUUUCCUUUCUUUGGAAACCAGAGUGCAAACAUAGGUCCCUGGUCUCAUCCAAAUACACAGUCAGGACAUAGAUGGGAUAUGCUCUGGGUCCCAUGGUAUAGACGUUGCAUUUAUUUACCUUGAGGCAGAUCUCCAAAAGGAAUAACUGCUAAACCCAGUUAAAACUUUCCCAUUGGUAGGUACAGGCUGUUCACUCGAAAUCUGGGCACGUUUAAAAAAUGCAGACUUGUUAAAUGCCAGAAGAGAUCUUCUUUUCAUGGCGGAUUCACAGAGACCAAGGAGGAAGCAGCAGUUCACAUUUGUCUUUGCAAUACAACAGACUGCACCUGUGAGAGCUCUGAAUGAGAAAGAGCUACUACCAGUCAUGCCUGGAUUCUUGGAAGCAGGGAUGGUUGAAGCCACUGGUUUUCUAGGCCGUUCACUCCUGUUAUGUCAGGUAGGUUGUUAAUAAUGGCUUUGCAUCACCAGCUCAAAAGUUGUACAGCUAUCCAGAAAAUGGAAAAUGGAAACAUUCUUGCAUUCAAAAAUGUUGUUUUUAAAUAUCCCUGCGUAUGCUAUGGUGUGGCUGUGAGCCUACUCCUUUUGAUACCCUCUUUUGCAGGCUGGGGACAAGAAAGCAGCUGAAGAGCUUGUCAAGGUAGAGUUCAGUUGUCCUUAUUGCUCAAUAAGCUGUUGAUGGGAGUCUUUUGUCCAGAGAACACAUGAGAUGUUUUCACCAUUCCUGAGUUGAAGGAGAUUGAACAGACCUGGCAGACUUCACUGUACCUGCUCUUUGUAGAUAAUAUUGGUAAGCACAGAGGCUGUUUAGAAGGAUCUGCUUUUGUGGAAACAGAUACAGAUCCUUGCAUGUGCAGAACAGUAGAGGUGACUGUGGACCAAACAGAGUAUAGGCCAAACCAAAACAGAUCCUGGUUUAUGAGCUGUCCACGCUGCAGGAGGUCCUUGUUCCAUACAGAUUUGGAAGCUCACAAGUAGUCUUUAUGGUUGUUUUUUAUCAGAGGAUGUGAUUUAUGAGCACAGUUUCCUUGUUCUGGCGGAACCAUGGGACAGUUUAACUGAUUGCUUCAGUUCUCUCUGGUUUUUACUUCCUCUCCUUAGUUUGGGGAACAAGUAGUUAUCAGACUGGGGUUUCUAGAGCCAUAAUAUGAUCCUAUAAAGAAGGAAAGAUUCAUGUAGUGGUGAAGGGCUGCAUAGAUACUACACGUAGAAAAGAUGAAGGCAAAUACAAAAAUUUGUGUCAAACUAAUAUCAACCUGGCAACCUAAGUCAAUGAAACUUUUUCUCACCUGUAAACAUUUAAACAGUUGGCUGUAAUCUGUUGUCAGAAUAGAAAUGGGGAUAGUCUGAAAUUUGCCAGGGUACAGAGUUCAUGUUCUGGCACAUCUCGAUAUGACCAUGUCACGCAUAGGUCAGUUGUAACCACUUUUUGGCAGCCAGCGUCUUCUAAGUGAAAUCUAUUUUUCAAAACAAAAUGGAAAUUCAAGAAAAAUGUUUUUAAAGUAUGCAGGCAAAGUUUGUUUUAUUUUGUAGGUUUUUGAUAUGAGGAGAGACAAGUUAUAUAACGCUGUAUUCCUAAGGCUUGUAUGAGCUAGCCAGAGAUGAGGAACUAUCUUACUAAGAAAUCCCUUUCGAGUUAAAAAUCUAAAAUCCACUGAGAACGUAAAACCCCAAUAGUUUCUCUGCAAAACUGACAUCAUAAAUUGCCUAAUUUAUAGAUAAAAGACCAUUUAAUGACAUCAUUUUACAUGAUCCAUGGUCAUGUUAUUGUUGGACAACAUUUUGGAUAUAUUUAAUGUGUCAUGCUCAGUAAAAGUUUUUGAAAGACCUUUUCUGUCUUCAGCAUGGAAAAGUUUUUUCACUUCUUUUCCAUCAAGCUUAUUUUCCUGGCACUUAUAGUCUCUUAUUAUGUCUUAUCUUUCUUCUGGAUAAGAUUGUUUUCCCAAUUCAUAUACAGAAGCCCAGUUAACUUCUGAGUGAUCUCUCCAUGCCAUAGUACCCAGAGGUUCAGAGAUAGCUCUGUUUGCUCAGGUAAUGUUAGUGGGACACAGUACUAUUUUAAAACCUUUUUCUGGAAAAAAAAAGACCUUGUAUACCUCUGAAGAAUGGAAUUAAAUCACAUUCUUUUAUUAUAUAUGUGAAUCAGGUUAUGGGAAUGAUGGAAUUAAUUUAUCUUAUUAUAAAGAACAUAGCAUCUUCUAAAAUACACAUGAUUGUUUUUAGUUUUGUUCAUUUUAGCUGAACCAUAGAGCCAUUUCUCAGUAUAUAUUACAACUGUAUAUUGUUUUCUGCGGGAGAAUGAUUGCAGCUCUAGAAAGCAAUUAUGGAACUAAUAUAUUUCCCUGAAAUGCAUGUUGUGAUGCAGGAUUUUGCUCAUGUUUCUGAAAAUUACUUAAACUUCUGCUUAAAUUAUCCUGGUAUCACAAGUACCACUUAAAUUAAUUUAUCCUGAAGAUACUAUAUUGGUAAGGAUAAGUUUUCCAUUAUUGGCAAAAAUAACUUGCCUUCCAUAGUAACUCUUUUGCCCAGAUCCAGCAUGUUUUUUUUCAGCAAGGAGUAUAAUGCCUAGCUAUUGUGUGCACUGGGGCACCUACACUGUAUGUCACAAAGAAGAAAAAGGACAUGUAUUUUGGCACUAAAAAAACCCAAACAACAAAGCAAACAGUUAUCAUAAAAAAGUAACCUCUUCAAACAAAUCCUGUGUCACUCAGCUUCCUGGUGAAUUCUGUGUAGGAGUUCAUUUUCCUUUUUCUCUGUGUACCGUGUGUUACCACAGUCUCAACUUCAAGAAUGAUCAGAGACCUAUAAAACAUGAUCUAAGAGGAAAGGCUGAAAGAAUUGGGGUUGUUUAGUUUAAAGAAAAUGAAAGUAUUGGGAAAAACAGUAAUGAUCUUCCAAAAUGUAAAAUGUUUCUCUGCAGAGAGAAGGAAAAAGUAUUUCUUUAUGUUCAGUGAGUCUAGGGCAAGAGGUGAUGGAACUGGAGUAGGAAAUUUAAGGUAGACAUUAGGAAAUUAUUUCAAACUGCAAAAGUAGUUUGGCACUGAAAAUGAUUAUCUGGGAAUCUCAUUUACUGAAGGCUUUGAAAGGCUGAUUAGGUCACAUGUUUCAGGAAUGGUUUUAGUUGCAGUAGAUUAUGUGGAGAUAACCCCAAAAGGUUCCUGGCUGGUUUACAGUGUUUUGUUUCUCUCAGGUGAUUUACAACAGAUGCUUUAUUGCUGUGUUGUUUUGAUUCUCACUCUUUCUUAUGCCCUUAGAAAAUGCCAGUAAGAAAAAAUUAGGUAAAAAAUCGGGAAAAUGGAAUGGAUGGUGACAUUUCCAAUAGCAGAAUACUAAGAAAUCACAAGCUCUGCAGGAUAACUGUUGUGUUUGAGCCGGUGUGUGACUUGCUGACAUGUCCUCCUGACAGGCUUUGGGACUGGCAUUCAGCAAGUAGUGGAUAGUCAAUACACAGAAAUCUGUGGCUUAACUAAUCUUUUAAAUUUUAAUUUAUUUUUAAAUUUUAUUUGAAGUGUUGGUCUGUCUUCACUUUUUGCUGUGUGUAAGUACUUCCUGAACCUGCAAGGAGCAAGCUCUAGCCAGAGUUCACCAGUGGCCAGUUUGUUAGUCAUCAGGUACUGCCACUGCAGCUUCAGGGAUAUUCUGCCCAAGGUGUGGUAAAAGAUAGAUAUUUGAAGUAGCAGGUCUAAAAGCCAGAAUUACCUCAACUGCUGAGAGGUAUGAAGUUGAACAUGAUACCGUUUCAUCCGAAUUUGACAUUUGUCUUUGAGAAUGUUUAUUCCUCACAAGGCCUUCAGGUUGCUGCAACAGUAAGGUAGUACCCAAAAUUCUUGUAUCUCUUUGAAGCAGAAUUGGAGAAUUUAUCCCUUGUCCAAGUUGAAUAUAUAUUCUGCUGCACAACUUAAAACACCUCUUGUUCACCUUCUCCUAAGUCUUCCUGUUUCUCUGAUUUUCACCAUUUUUCCUGUAGCCUAAAAUCUGUUUUCUAUCUGUAAGUAGCUGCUAUAGAUCUUCUGCAAUAACAGAGUGAUCAAAUGAGGCAUGGAAGGAUUCAUGAGAACCUAUGGAGUGUGACCCUCUGGCAGACAACUCUGUCCAGCCCAAGAUCAUCUACAUCUUCAUCAUUCCUUGACAGAAAACCGUUGAAACUGUUUGGAUACUGAAUGAUGGCUACAGCCCAGUCCCUUCCUCUGGAGCUGUGGUGGUGCCACAUUGCAUCGGUCACCAGCAUAGGAUCCACUUCCCCAGGGAUGGAUCCCUGUCCUUGAACCUUAACAGAUCAAUGAGGUAAGGAGAAGGAAAGGCCUCUGCCAUCAUCAAAGACAACUCCAGACUCUUCCGAGUCUUGUCCAAAAGCUUCAGUAAUUUACAGUUCCUUAUGGUAAGACACUUUUUCUGGUAUUAACGUCAUGGGCAUUUUAAAGUGUUAUCAGACAGUAAUUACUAUCACAACUUUUAAUUCUGUGUUUCUGUUUCAAAUUUUCCUCAGUUCUAUCAGAACCAAAAGUUAAUGCCCGUUGGCUAAUUUCCAGUGCAUGCUUCCACAGAACAACUGCUGCCUUUAACUGGUGGAGAGAUCAAGGCUUGAACUGACAAAAGACAUCUGUAUUUUGGAAAACAAAUUAAUGUUUAUGUUUUAAUUUAUAAGUUCCUGGCUCUUUUAUGGUUCCUGUUUUUCAAGUAACGUCUCUUUGGAUCCCUAGCUGAUGGAGAGUCAAAAUGGAAAAGGCCCAUGAGAGAAUUAUCACAAUAGAACAUCUGGUCUGCAUUGGAAAAAGCUGAGAAAGAUAUUCAACAUCUCUGAGACCAAGAGGCAGCUAUGAGGCAGUUUGGAAAGUCAGUCUAUGAAAAAUCGUGCAGGUUGUGGCCACCUGGGCCAAUCUAGUGUUGUUUUGGGAAGAGCUACUCUGCUUCCUUGCAUCUGAAUUUUAAUGUCACUUCAGCACGGAUAUGUGAGAACUGGGAGUGGUAUGAAAGGUGUUUGCUUUUCAUAAUGUUAAUCUGAGUCCCAGCAUUGUCCUAAUUAUAUUGUGGGUUUUUGCCAGUCUCCUAAGUUUUCUUUUGAGCAUGUAGGCUGGAGUCAAAAGGCUUUCCCAGGGUUUUGGCAUAGCUUUAUAGGAAAAUGGAUGGAAAUUACUUUGUAUAUUUUUGGAAGAAUAUUUUGCAUCCUGCUUUAAACUGUUCCAGAAGGUGAAAGGACGUUAGCUAGACUGUGUAUUGGCUCGUGUACUGGUAUGUCACUAAUGGCAAGGAGUUUUGCUUCACCUAAUUGUUCCUGUUUUCUGCAGCCACAGACUAUGAGAAAUGCAAAGAAAUAAUGAGCCAACCAGGGCAAUAAAGGCACUACUGGAUUCAGAGGGAACAAACUCCUUCCACCACAUGAAACUUUCGUCUUUUAAGUCAUCAUAGCUCAUGCAGAACAGAAACAAUUUGACAUGUAUAACAAGAAACACUGCAAUUGUUUGCCAAACAAAGACUUAUACUGCAGAUGGAAGAACUGAUGAAAAUUGUUUAUAGAUGGGGAACUAAAUGCUGCCUGAGGACCCACUGGAAAAUCUAUGGACUUUUCUCCACAGAAAAUUUGUGUAUCGUCAAUACGUAAGUGGAUUGUCCACAGUUACACUGUGGCAGCUGCAGAGGAAGUGGAAGGUUCUCAGGAAUACAUUAGGGAGAACUGGAUUUUUGGCUUCUGAUAUAGUGUGGAGCGCCUUUGGAAACUGUGGAAGUUUAUGAGCUGGAUGUUACUGCUACAAAAGGUUAUCUAUGAGUUAAACAUAAUAGUAAUUAAUCUGCUAUCUUUAGAUCCUGACACUAACAACAUGAUGAAAUUGAGAAUUCCUAUUCUGUAGAAUUGCAGUUUUCCAGGAUGCCUUCAUUCCUACGAAGAUGCCCUGAUCUGCACUUAGUUUUCAGUGUUACCUUUAGCAAUCUGUGCACAGAUGUUUUUACAAGGCACUAUGUAGUCAUCCCAAACAACUGGUUUUAAUGGGCCAGUUAUUUAGGAAAAGCAUGUAAUGAGAACAUAAAUAAAAUCCCUGAUACUAACAUAAAAGCAUGUAUUAGCAGAAUAAUAUAGUUUGUAUUGCCCUGAUAGAUAGCAGACCCUGGAAAUAUAAAACUUGUCAUGUCUUUAAAAUUCUGUUAUAUCUGUAAACAUAUAUGUCUUGGAAAAGAGGGCCCACAGCAUCCGGGACUGCUUUAGGAAAAGUACUGCCAGGAGAUCAAAGGAGGUGAUUAUUCUCCUUUACUCAGCACUGGUGAGACCUCAGUGGAAGUGCUGUGCCCAGCUCUGGGCUCCCCACAAGAGGAAGGACAUGGACAUACUGGAGUGAGGGCAGGAAAGGGCCAUGAAGAUGAUUAAGAGGAGCACCUGUCAUGUGGCUGCCUUAAGGGGUUUUGAAGUUGAUGUCCUUGAAGAUACUCAAAACUCAACUGGGCGAGCUCCUGAGCAGCCUGCUCUGGGUGAUUCUGCUUUGUGUUGGACUGGUUUGGACUGGAUGAUCUCCAGAGGUGCUUCCAGACUGUGAAUAUUUGAAGCAGUUUGGUUAUGUCUUGUCAGCAUUUUAGCUGGAACUCAAUUAUUUAGGAAUCCUAAAGAGAGCAAAGGCUGUGACCCUAGAAAUCCAUCCAGAUGGCUGAGGCCCAGAAAAGGCAUAAUGAGAGCUGCUAAGUAUUUUGAAUGCCUCAUCAGAGUGAUAUUUCACUUAAAAAUACAAAUAUAGACAUGACUUGGGUCUUAAUGACACUGAAUACCCAUAAUGUUCUCUCACUUCAGCUGGACUGCAGAUGGUAACAACCUCUCUCUAUCUGAGCACACAUAUUUUAGUUUCAUCUUGCUCUGUAAAAUCUUAUCACAUACUUUACUCUAGAAAUUAAUAUUUGGAGCUUUAUGGUGCAGAAUUUAUUUGUUGAUUUGUUCCACAAUUUCUUUCCUUACUAGUACUGAUAUUAAUAAAUUAAAAUGUAUUUUGACAUAUUCAGUAAUAAGCUCAUACUAUGUCUCAAGGAGUUGAGAAUAUCAUAAUUUGAGCAAGGUAAAAUCAAAAUAUGUAUUGCAUUGCAUAUUCUAUGGCACUUAGUUUGUAACUAUUCUUACAGCACCUUCAGAAUAAGAACAAAGAUUAAAUUCAAAAAAGACUUUCAUAGUUUUAAAACAACAAGAUUUAUGUGGAAAGGCAAAGAUAAUGUAAGAAGAUUCACCUGUGGUUUUUCAUCAUGAAAAUGCCAGCAAACUAACUUGCAGUUUUGAGAAUUCCCAGAUCCUCCUCGUUUUGAAAACUCUUUGUCUUUCAUGUUUCCUCUAAGAAUAAAAAGGAAAGCACACUGGAAAACAAGAAAAUGAGAAAUGUUGCACAAGGAAUUAGGAGAUAAAUAGAUUGUAAAGCAUUUGAUUUGAUUUUGGGGUUGCACUUCAGCAAGUGAAACAGUAAGUAAAUAACGUGUUUCUUUAUCAAUACAUGGAGUCACAUUGAGACUGACAGACCAAGACAUAAAUGUAUAAAUAGCACCUCUGAUAAUUAUUAGAAGAUGUCAAAUUUUGCUAUGGAUGAGCCCAUCCCAAAACCACAAAAUUAAGACUUCAGACAAAAAUAACACAUGAAGGUCAAAUACACUUAGUCAUAAGUUGCUGUCUUCUGCCACCACUUUUCCCUGACCUAAUGCUUUUACAGCAUAUCUCCUCUGAUUCAGGCUCCUCUAUAGUCUCUGCGUGGGACUGGGGGUUUGGUGGGGACAGUAUUACUUUAAAUUGACACCUCUAGCAGCAGUUCCUACUUGUACUGUUUUCCUUUUAUAAAUGUAUAACCUAUUUCAUCUAUCAAAGCCUGACUUAGCUCCAAGUCACCCAUUUCUCAAGGAAAUUAAAUCUAAUGUCUAAUAAGCAUAGAAGCUUAUGCAACUUUCAUUCCCCGAAAAAAAGUAUUAAAUAACAUAAUAAUAUUACCUUGUCUUUUGAUAGCUAGAGACUUGUGCACUUUGUUUUUCUGUAGACCAGAUGGGUUCUGCAUUUGGGCUUGAGGAGGCCAGGUUUAUCCAUCCCUUUUUGCAGACUUUCUGAAUGUCACCUCAAAAUUCUCCUCUUGUUAAAGGACCCCCUGAAACUUUCAUGUGUAAGGUUUGAUCCCUUUCUCCACUUUUCCCUCUGGUAGGAGCCCCCUCUGUUCCCCCACACAAGGUGGUCUUACCCUGGGGGUUCUGGCUGCUUUUUCACUCAUUCUCUCCCUCACAGGAUUUUCUCCAGCCUGACCAAAUUUCUGCCUGUUCCAUCCCAUUUUCUAUUAAUACCCACCACGGUUCUGUGUCAGUGGGUGCAACAUUUGAAAAUGCAGAAAUCUGCCUCUAAACCAUGUAGAGUAGCAACAUAAUUUCAGGGGUUUGCCUCCUGCAUGUGUCAGUUCAAUAAGUGGGUUUAUAGGGAAUAAUUUUAAACUGUUGCAGCCCUCUGAAACCACUUCUGUAAUACAUAAAGUGACAUAAGGUCACUGAUGCUGGGGAAAUUGGUUUCCUGGUUGAUAUGCUAAUUCAGCAAGAAAUCAGUUCUUGCAGAAACCCAAAGAAAAUUAUUUUAAUAUAGUGCCAUGCUACUCUGUUGACUUUUAGGAAAGAGAUAAUUAAAAUAUUCAAGGGAGUUCCAAGUCUCUGGAGAAAAUACCAUUAUGGAGAUAUAAAGCUAUUUUUGCCUCACAGCUUAUUAGCUUCUUUCCUAAAAGCAAAUCAGUUGAAUGUGAUGGGCACAAAAAUAACAUUUACAUGUGCUCAAAAAAAUAAGAAAUAAGAUACUUUUAUAAACUGAGUUCAAUAUAAGAAUAGACUCGGUUCAGUCUCUUCUGUGUCACUCACCCUGUGUUUACAGUAACUGCUCCUGCAAUUUUCUGGAUGAAAACUUCCAUCCAGAUACAUCUAAGGCCAUUAAUAAGUCUGCACGAUGCAUCUGAUUGCAAUGGGGAAUAGAAUUACAUUGAUGAUGUCUAAGGAGAAAGAGAAUCUCUGCACUCAGUGUGAAUAAGGAGUAGCCAAUGCCUUGUUUUUUCAGAAAUAAAUAAUUAAAUUAAAAUGAAAACAACAGCCAAUCUAUAAGAAUAAUCGCUAAGAGUUUGAAAGCCCUGUAUUUUUUCCUAACAGUGCACUUAUAGUAGGCUAUUACUGAGUACAAAAAGUAAAAUAACUGUAAUAUUUACUGUAUGAAUAUCCCAAGGGAAAAAAAUUUAGUAGCAUAAGCUGUUUCAUCUUUUUAGAUGUACAGCAGAUAGAGUGUUCAUAACAGGAACACCCUGUUACCUCAACUGUGAAAGGUUCUGGGAAUCUAAUGACCAACAGACUGGAAUUUAAAUUUAUUUUUGUUUGGUUUGUAUUGCAGUGAGCAUUUGAAAGACCCACCAGUUUAUCUUUGUCAGAGAUUAUUUUUCUUUUGGCUUAGCUUAGACACCAAUCUCACUGUUGAGUUUACAUUUAUGGAGCAGGACCUGAGGUUUUCUCCAUGUGUUCAGCAUUAUGAUUCUGACUUUGCAGAUCUCGUUGCUUGGGAUAGUUGCAAAAGUCAUGUCUGCUUAUACAGCAACAACAGAACUGGGGUUCAGAUGCUGCUGAUUAGUCAAUUGAGAAGGAACAAAAUCAGUUUUGAAGGCUGCCACUUUUCUUGGCUGAUGUGCAGAAGAGUUGGUAAAAGCUGCAAAGACAACUGAGUACCCUGAUGACAGUAUUUAUUAUACAUUUGAUUUCAUAAGUGGAUUUUUAGAAAUAAUUUAUUUUGUUAUUUUACUCUGCUGUAGCAAAUCGUGUGUGACUGUAGUUGUUUUUCCACAAUGCCUGUUUUAGUUGUUUUCGUUGCCAUUUGUUCUCACUCCGCGUAGUACCGUCCACAAGGUGGUGCCACAGCUAAGAAGUUAGCAAUAAAUAAGACAAAUAUAAUUUGCUAAUUCUACCUGCUUUUUGCAGAAGAAUUUUGGUAGAAUUUUUCUACCAACUAACUAAGGUAUCUGCACCUUUAAAGAAUUAAUAAUUUUUUCAUAAGCAUAGUAUCACAGGUUUGCAAGUUUUUAUUUUAAACCCCUUGUGUGUCUGCCUGCUGAGUGGGAGCAGCACCCACAGACCUGUGUCCAUCCCAGAUCAUGUACAAAAAUGAAAAGACAGCUCAGGGUUAAGCAGACAGACUGAUGAAGAGCUGUGUGUGUUCAGGCAGGGUUAUCCAUGCUGUGCCCCAUGGAUGUGUCCUAUAUAUAUGUAGAUCACUUCAGCAAUACCCCAGGAGUCAGCCCAAAUCCUGACAAGCAGAAUAGUUCAUCUGCAACUUCAGCUUCCAUGCACUUACCCUGGUGUGGCUGUGGCACAUCAAACCCUAAUUUUCCAAGUUUUUCUACAGCAAGGGAUAGCCAAACUCCCUGUCUUAUGAUAAUGUACAGUUGACUUAAUUCCAAAGGGGUAUGAAGUGCUUACAGAGGGCCCUGCUGUGAGAGCAGCUGGGUUAAUGUAUACAGGUAAAUUCAGUAGUAUUUUUCCUUCAGUCAUAGUUAAAAAGGCAGCCAUCCCAAACUGUGUUCAGCACAAGUGAUCGAGCUUAUGAGCACCUUUCAACAUAAGAUUAGACUAGAAAAAGUAAAAGGCGAUAACAGGGAACGUAAGAUGUGAAAUGUACCACCCAAUACAGAAAAGGCAAUAAAACUUACAGGAAAAAUUUGUUUGAAUGGGUCUGAAUGACUGCACUGUUUUAUAGCAGGCCUGUAUGUCCCUGAAGAGCUGAAGUGCAGAAGGCCUUGGUCAUUUCUCCCUGAAUGUGUGUGUUAGUUCUUCAGCUACCCUUGGCCACAAGGCCGUGGUUGCUUCUUGCACACCUGCCCUGCUCCCCUCAGUGACCUCUGCAAUACAGGUAUGCAUGUUAAUACAAGAUAUACCCUCUGUGAGCUUCUCCAAUGGAUAAAUUAAGUUGUUUAUUCAUCACAUUAUUUUGUACCAAAAGCAGGAAGAAAAAGGGAUAAUUUAAAAUACCUUUCAGACGAGCACUGCACCGAUUGUUUCUUCCAGCUAGAAUCUCUCUUUGGUAUGGUAGACCUGUAUCAGAACAAGAAGAAUAGCAGUGUUUGCAUAAUAUGUUUCUGCAUAUUGCUAUAUUAUUAUUUUAAAACAUACUAAAAUUCUGGUGGGUUGUGAGAGACUCAGUAGAAAUUACAUAUACUCAGGAAAGAUGGUUUGUCCCCCAGUUAUAAUGCAGAAUGAGAGUUAGAGUCCAGUUCUUAUUUAGUCCAGUUCUAAAAGUUGUCAAAUAACACAACUGACACUUCUUUUUUUUUUUUUUAAGGAUCAGAUCUAUAAAUUUUAUCUUAAGUUGCUUUACAGUAUUUUAAAACUUUGUAUUGCUUUUAACAUCUGUUUGGAAAAGUCAGAAUUAGAGAACUAACUAAAAAUAUAAAGUCACUGAACAGGUCAACUAGAUUUAAUUUCUGAGUCUAUCCAGUUAGUUUGGACUAACUGAAUCACAACCGAGACACUGUCAGAGUAUUCCUGUAAGAUUGUUCUGAAUGUAUGGCUGCAAUGUGUCUUGCAAUGAAAAUGACAUAUUUCUGGUUUAGUUUGGACUUCAUUUUUAGUUUGACUUUGUAAAAUUGUUUUCAAAAAUGUUUAUUUUUCAGAUAUUUUACACAGAGAAGAAAUUAUGCUCUAUUCUGAAGGGAAUGACAGAGCAUCUGAGAUCAUACAUUUAAGUCUCCACUUUAUGUAAACCCCAGGUAUGCAUUAUUUUAGUAACUUAACAACUGAAUUGAGAUCCAAAACACUUUCCCUUGCAAUAUUUAUAAUGAUUUUUGCGCCCUUUCUGGAAAUCCCGUAAAUAUUUUUAAAAUAUCAAAAACUGGUUUUCCUCUAAAUCUGGUUUUCUGGUUUCCCAUGUAGGCACUCAUGAACAAAACAUGCUUCAGCUCAGUGUCUAUACCUAGAUCUUACUAGAAGGAGGUAACUUCCAGUAUUCUAAGUUCGGAGUCAGCCUGAGCAGGGCUCCGAAAUCCUCCUGCAGAUGCACAGCGUUAACCGGAAACAAUUCAGAGUGGCAGUGGUAUCCUGCAGGAUGUGUGCGUCGCCUUCAGCUGUGUGUUGAUUUACACAGGGCCACAUUAUAGAUUAUACAUUCUGGUAAUUGUGGUAUUGUUAUUGCUGGGCUAUAUCUAAGCACAGGAAACACAUAUAAGCACAUUUGAAGUGAUAACAUCCACUCCUGUUUAAAGGGCAAUAUUUUAUUCUCAUACGUAAUACGGCAUUUGCAAUAAUACAGACAAUUUCCUAACAAGUACAUAGGAGACUUUCAGGAGAAAAACCUGAUUCAUUGUGGGAGGCCCAUAACCAGCAUUUACAAAGAAAUCCACAUCAAUUUUUAUUCACUUUAAUUUUAUUUUUUUCAGUAUGGACAUUAUUCUGAGAUCAAGAAGGAGACAAUACAUUGCCAUCUGAAAGCACAAGAAAGAUCAAAAUAAGUUUUCAAUGUGUCACCGAAACCACAGUGCUAGGUUUCUGUUAAGGAGAAUGAGUAAUACCAUUCUAGCUGUGAAGAAUGCUGUGAGUGGGUAAUAAUUCCAUCUAACUGAUAGGGCAGAUUUUCUGCAAGAAAAUAAAUUAUCCCAACUAAAAUCUUGCCUUAUUUCUUCAGCUCACUAAGAAAGCCCACUCACCAUACCCAUUUAGCUGCUUGUCUAACAUUAGGAUAUCCUCCAUCCAACAUUCCCAACUUAAUCUUGCAAUUCAGGAACAGACUGGCUCCAACCCUGGCCUGGACCACAGCUAAAUCUAUAUCCAUGCUUGUAAUACUGUUGCAGAUCAAUAAUUCGAUGCUAUACUGUAUAAAUUGGUUUGUUGAAAUGAUAGUUACGAAUGAAGUUCUAAAAAGACACUGCAACAUAUAAUAAAGGACUGACCUACUGACAGUUCUAAUGGGGAUGUGAUUAACAUAUACAUAAAAUAGCCCAAAGCCCAAUGACUUGCUUCAUGAUUUCAUGAAAAACUUUUUAUUGUUUUCUAUCUAUAUUAUUUAACAUUAAGAAUACAUUUGUCUUUAUAAAUUUUUAAAUGCUACUGAUCUGAUAUUUUUGUGCUGGCAGUCUUAACACUGAACAAAAGUAUAGUUUUGUCAGACCUCAUAUGCACAAAAAUUUUAAAUAAUAAUGUUGCUGAUGCCUCAUAAUAUGCCUUUGCAUUAUGGCAGUCUCAUUAUAAUAUUCUUUUGGAAGUGUAACCUGCUUAGGUAAGCUUUGAUUUACAAGAUAAUAUUAAGACAUGUUUAAUUUUAAGUAUGAUCUUUACUAUUUUCCUGAAUAGGAAUAUCUGUCCUUAGUUUAAACUUCUAAUAUCCUGUUUAACAAGGAAACAGCUUCAAUCGUACUAAAAGUACUUAAAGUUAAGAAAGUUUUCACAUUUGGUUGCUGGGAUUAGGGCUUUAAAAACAAAGGUCAGGUGAAGAUGCCUUCUUGGAAUACGCUAGGAUAUAAGCCUCUAUUUUUGUUUGUAGUUCAUAAAUCUACAUAUUACAUAAACCAGUAAUAACUUUAAUAUAAUUAUAUUUGUAUUUGUGUGAGUGACUGGAGUUGAACAGCACACCUACAUGGCUACAGCAUAUGUGAAUCUUCCUGCAGUACAUUCUGGUGUUGACUUUCAUUAGACAGUAAGAAAUGUUGCCUGCAAAAAUAUCACAGCUUGAAAAGGAGACUAAUGUCUGUCUUUUUCACAUGGGAAAUGUAUUUCAUCAUCCCUCACGUGACAUCGAAAUCAGGUCUGUGGAAAUGAAAAUACCAGGCUCUGCACACCAUAGGAUUUGUAAUUAGCUUGAGGUAUCCCAGAGAAAAUUCUGUAAGUUACUUUAGUCUCUUUAUUUUGUCUUGUCUCAGAUCUGUCUGAUUUUGUUUGAGUUUAUGAGUAAUUUUUGGUGGAAAUGUCUAUGUUGCAAUUGAAAUGCUCUAACAAGUCCUCAUCACUAAAAUGCACUGAGUUCUGUUACUUCUGAGGAACCAUGUGGAGUCCUGGAGUCAUUGUGGCUGUUGGGGAACUCAGGAGCUUCCUGGUCUCACUUCAGCCAUAUGACAGAACCCCAAAAACACCUGGGAUGUCUUUAGGUCUUAAAUAUUUAAUUUAAAUGUCUAAAAGGUAAGAGUUUCUUAAGCAUCAUAAGACAUGAGAGUUAACAGAUCAGCCUGAGCCAUGCCUCUUGCAUUUACUUUUUCAAUAAAGUUGUCAGGAUGCUGCCCAGCCAGGCUGCCAGAUGUGCUCUCCAUGUUUGGGGUAAGUAAUCACUUGGUCCUGGGAUCUUCUGCACAAGCUAUGCCUGAACCCACUGCAGUUAUUUUAGGUGACACACUAAAGUGGUCAGCAUAAACCGAGAAGACUUUGUCCAGCACUUUGUCAGCAUGCCAGAAGAAAUUCCUUGGGAUUCAGAGUCUAAGAUUUCAUUUCAGUUAAUUGUCAGGAUGAUGAAUAUUAUUUAUUCCACACUAAGGCUUAUUUUAAUCCAAAACACAGAUAGAUAGCGUCAAUGCAGGCAAAAUUAUAGUUCUCCCUGCAUAGAAGCCCAUCUAGAUAUAAUCCAGUUUGCUCCCCUGUCUCUAAAUUUGAAGGACAACAGGAAUGGAGACUGCGCCUGGCCUGGGAUUCCCUUGCACUUGAACCUGAUCUAAUUAGGCAAGUCUAUUUUUUCACAACAUAAAACUAUUAUAGACAACAGUAUGGUGAACUGAAAACUCCUCAAAGUUGUUAAAUUCUGUCUAGUUUGGAAAAGGAGCUGUAUCAGGCCGAUGCUCAGUGAGGCAAUGGAGCCCAGUGGGCAGAGUGCUGGACAGGGAUUGAGAAAUCUGGGUUCUUUUCCAAAAUCUCCUGACUUUUAAAUGACCUUGAGCUGUCACUUCUCUGUGCUUUGGAUUCACUGCCUGUAUGAGGAGGAUAAUAAUGCUCAUAAUGGUUUCAGAGUUGCUGAAGGAAAGAUCUGCAUGAACACAACACUUCGUGCACUACCCUGAGCUAGAUGCAGCUGUGGUUAGAGGUGGCCAGGAUUUGGUCAAUGCCUCGUGUAUUCCAGAAAAUCUGGGAAACUUUGGUUGUUACACAGCUUGCUUUCAGUUAUCUGUCAAAACACAUUUUCAUGUUAAAGGUCUUUCAUAUCUUUCAGACCAUUACAAAAUAUCUCCAGAAAAUUUCAUAUUAUUUACUUACGCAUUAAUACAGUUCAUGCUUCUGUUACUGGGAACUGCAGAGUGCCUCUCAGGAUCAUACAAAUGAUAACUUAACAUAGAUAAUGUGGUUUUGACCUAAAAAAGAGAAGUGUUUUGCAAUGUUAUAUUUAGCAUAUCUGGGGAAAAAAAAAUUAUCAAUUACUUUAUGUUGUAAGGUAAUUGAAUUGGGUUUUUAGUUUGAAACAUUCUCUUUGAAACUAAAAAAAAUUGUGGUUUUUUUUUAAUUAUCAUUUUAAAUCAAUGUCUUGAUUUCACACGUUUUGUAUUAAUAUACAACUACAAGCUUUGUGCACAAAAAAAGAACAGUCUACUUUCAAAACUGCUGAAUGCUUUGACCUCAAGGGCAUAGAAACUGUUGACUCAUUGUUUUUACUGCAUAUAAUAUUAGUCCUUUGUCACAUCCAGGGAAUGACAUCAUCUUCUUCAUUGUUAGCAGCAGGUUUGAAUAACAGAAAAAGUGCAGCAUUAGUUGUCUGCUGUGUUUGUUCUUAAUAAAUGAAUGGAUAUCUGGUACCAAGGCUCAGAUUAGGAUUUUUGAGUAACAUUUAGAACAAGCUUGUGCCCAAACCCUGCAAAGAGCUUUGCUUCUGGCCACCAUCUGCAGGGCAGUCGAGCUGGCAGGAGCCCGGAGCCUGCAGAGGGAACGUAGCUGAUGGUUCUGGCUUCUUGAAAGUGGUAAGAGGAGUCAGGAAAGGAAGAGAUUAAGCACAGAAUGAAACAGAUCUGUUCUUCAAGGUCAUUUUAGUAAAAGGAGUCCCUGCACUUCUGUGAAUCAUACUUCUGUGAAAUCUAAAAUCAUGAAAAGUAAUUAUCGGAAAAUAAGUCAUCUCUAGGACGUGCAAGCAAAAUGGGAACUAAUUAUCUUGAAAAUGCACCAGAACAAGUAUUUAAUCUAUUCCAAAUUUGUAUUCAUGUUUAUUAGUCUUCUCCUCCCUAUAACUAAAAUGUCUAUGUCCUAAUCUCAAAGAGUAAUUCCCUAUCAGAAGUAUUUGGUUACUCCUGCCUGCUUCAUGGAAGAAGGAUACAUCAUUAUGAUUACUAACCAGGCUGAUGGAGGUCUUCUUUAAGGUGAUACACCACCUUCUAUAAGGUUCUUCAGAAUUUUUUCAUGGCAGAGAAAAUUUUAAGUGUUGCUUCCUGAACAGUAAACAUUUCUAGUGGAAAAGAAUUUACUCAGGGAGAGAGUCCUCGAGAGUCUGAUCAAAUGUCAAAUUCUAUCUAAUCCAUUACCAAUUGCCUUUAUGUUUUCCCAGAAAAAUGUGAUGUCUUUAACUAUAAAAUUAUACCUUUGUGGUUCCAAAAAUAUUUGUCCUGAAGAUAAGUUCCUGUGUUGAGAGAAUGAAUCAAACUGGACUUAGAAAAGCUAAAAUCCAUACAGCUGUGAGAGAAGCACUGAGGCAGCAGGCUGGGAAAGCUAGAGGUCAUGGGUUAAGGAUCCAGGAUUGCUGGAUCACAGAGGUCCACAUACCAAGAGUAGACGCAGACAAGGGCUACACACAAGGAAAUAUUUUCUAGAAUGCCAGAACUAAAAAAGAAUAAACAAACCAUGCUGUAAAAAAUCAAAAUCAGACCUUGUUGACUUGGAAGCAAGAGGUCUGAUGUACUGGCCUCUUCACAACAGACAUACCUAUACUUGUGCAGGUAGGGAGAGCUGCCUUGCGUGUAGGCUUGAGCAGAUGCACCUAUCUCAAUUCCUAUCCCAAAUUUAUAUUGCUAAUUUCAGAUUUAUCUGUUAUGAGAAGUAAGAAAUGUUACACUUUUUUCUACAUAUUUCAUAUGCUUUUGCCAUAUGAAGUCUUUCCUCAGUCUUCUGUUCCACUCUGUAGUUCACCUUCAAUCAACAUUUCAAAAAGUCUCAAGUAGCAUGAAUUUUGGUGAGGCCAAAUCACUUGAUUUUCCCUUACCCUGUUUAGAAGAGGCUUUACUUGGAUAAAAGCAAUAGUGCCAGCCAUUUCCCUUCAUCCUUUAAAAUUACUGGCCACCUCUAAAGAACUUGGCCUCUCUUUUAUGUCACUUUCUGACAACUCAUUUGAGUUGAACAGGUUGCUGUGGCCAAAUUAAAUGCUUGGGAAAUGGACCAUACAAUUAAUUUGCAAUAGUAAGUUGUCUCAGCAUCAUUUCUCUUCCUCUCAAGGGGAAUGCUGGCUCAAGCAAAAGAAAAGAUUAACGUAAUAAAAAUAUUCUAAAGACAUCCUGUUAAUUGUCCCAAGCUCAGAUGGUAUUGUCUAUUCUUCUGUUGUGCAUAGCCAGCAAACAGUGUAAAAUCCAGAAUUCCUUCCUACCAUGAAAGCAGAGCCUUCAGUGCUACAGGAUAAUCCCUGCCUUUCUGGAAAGCAGAUGAAAAUGUGGUGUGGCAGAGCUUUGCUUUGGGUUUCAGAGGUGAGCUCGAGUUUGCUCCAUUUAUGAAUAUAAUAGGACUUGUUAAUUUAGAUACAUCAGCAACUUUAACCAAGAGAAUAAAGAUUUAUGGAAAAAAGGAAAAUUGCAAACAAAGUACGAGCAAAUUUUGGGAAAAGAAGGAAAUUUUUUCCCUGAAUGUGCAAAAGAGAUUUCCCAUGUUUGUUUAGGGACAGAAAAGACUCAAGGUUUUAAAUUCAGCCAAAAUAAAGGCUUUCAUUUACAAUCACAUUUGCAGUGUUGACCUUGAAUAUCACAUUCAGUGACAGCAAAUCUCAUAGGAAAAAUUAAUAUAUCAAAUAAAACUCAGAAAUAUUCACAAGUGACUGAGUGAAGCAAAGCUGUCAGAAGAGUUAAAUAAAAGAAGACUCUGUAAUUCCCUCCUUGCUCUAAAAUGUCGUUUCCUCAGAAAGGACAAAGUCUGAUUUUUGCUUAUAUGAAAAUAGUCAUAAAAUAUGUAAGAAAACACAGAAUGUUGUUUGCUUCAGUUCCUGUAAACUAAUCAGGCUGAAUGAUGAGUCUUCCUGUAACUCGGAGCACUUUUGAAUACUAUGCAUGAAACUGUGUUCCUCCCCUCAUAAACAGCUCGAGCCUUGCCUAUGUAUCAGUGUAGAAAAAUAAGUAUUGACUUAUUCACAAAUUACUUUCUAGGCACUGGAUUCCCAGAAAUAUAUUUGUAUAACAGCAUCUAGAAGCAAAUGAAUGUGUUAAUAACCAGGUUUUCUUUCAUUUUAUGGCCCUAAAGACACUUUGAUCUUCUAAAAUUAUGUUUGUCUUUUUGAAAAGCUAACUUUUAUCUCAGCUCUGGUGCUCAUUUCCUUAUCUCUUCUUCUGAAAUAAAUUUUUUACAGGAAUUCAGUAUGCCCCAUUUCAUUUUAUUUCAGACAGCCAAGUGAGAUAUUUCUAAAUAUUUUAUCAAACAGAUAGGUUCCCUACAGGAUGCUAACUUGUUCUCCUAUUUUUAUUUUUUUAUGUAUCUUUCCAAAAUGAAAUAUUUUGGAUAUGGUACAGUUUGUUCACAUGUCAGAUAUGGAUUUUUUAAUUCUGUCUUUCUGCAGAACAGUAAGAAGAGAAAAUAAAUCAGAUGUUUUAUCUGAUUGUACUUUGAUCAGGUUUUUCUAUAUUCUCAAAAAGAACAGCAUGGAGCUUCACUUGCUGCACAAAAAAGCAUUUUUAGUUUUGAAAAUAUUUUAAAACAUCUCAGGAAAACCAGACCCAACACUUAGGUUAGAGUUCUACUCAUCUUAAAAAAAGACUCCAUUGCUUUACAUGGUCAUAUUUGAACAUUUAGGAUCUCCUGGUAUUUAUCAUCCACUACAUGAAUUGGGAAAAACUUCUUAGUAGGAGCCAAAAUGUGGGCAGAAUUUCACCUGCCAUAAUAUUUGCUAUCACUCUCCAUGACUGACUUGACUGGAUAAUGAAAAAUGCCUGUAAUUGUGCUUCUGAUACAUCUUGAUAUGUGGCAACCUAGGAAAUACUGACACUGUGUGUGACACAGGUGGGAGAGGUGUGUGUGUCUUCACAUCAGGGAAUUUUGCUGUCUUUGAAGUAAAAAUGAAAAUUUAAAAAUGUUAGUGAUUAAGUUCAUGGUGGCCAUGGAAGUCUGAAGGUUGUGGGAGGGCCUGUGGUUUUUAACAGACAAGGUAGAAAAGGUUCUGGGCAAACAGCAAAGUAAUCUGCCUUCCUUGUGUGAUACACUUGCUGUAGGCAGAGGAUGUUGCAGAUGUGUUCUGGACAUUAAGUAAUCCAAGAAAACAGUAGGACUGAAAAUCCAAAAGUUUCCAACUCCUUUAUUACCUUCUCAAAUUAUACUGCAAAGAUCCAGAGCCUAGACCUCUGGGAAACCUCUGAGGAAAAGUCUGAGGAAGACAUUCUUCAAAAUAAUUUACCAUUUAGUUUCCUCAGUAUAGCAGAGGAAUGUCCUUCCAUUUAUAAAAGGUACCCAAUUCCAUAUAAACCUUUCUGAAACAUUUGGGAGACUUCUCAGUACUCCGAGGGAGAUGCUGUUCUCAAUAUUUACGAUGUGUACCCAAACUGAUUUCUCUCUUUUAGUGUCUCCAGUGCAAAAUCAUUACAUUGUCAGAAAUAAACCAAGUCUAAUUUGUGGGGGGGGGAAAGAAACUGGAUUCCAUCAUGUGUUUCAUAUUAUACCAUUAUGAAAAUGGUAUAUUAAAUUCAAAUACUUCAAUUGUACCAUUAGAUGUUGUCAUUAUGUGGCUUGCUAAUUGAUAGGUUAUUCAAAUGAACAUUAUAAUUUUAGACUUCUUAGAAGCAUCCAUAUGAGGAAUUUCCAAACUUCAGAAAAGUAAACUGGGUGUUAGGAAGGAAAAACAUGUACUGAGAAUAUUUCCUAAUGCAUGUCACUGAAAAAUCAUUACAUAACUGCCGUGUGCAUUCCAGGACUUGGUGCAGGCUAUUUUUAAUACCCGGUAUGAAAGAACUUCCUGCUACUUUUUCUCUUUGAAAGCUGCUUUGUGGUUCAUUAGAUCGUGUGGUCAGGCCAAUUUUUCUGCUAUCCUUAAACCUCAUUUUUAUCUCCUUAAAAAAAAAAAAAAGGUGAAACUGUAUAAGAUGGAAGAAGGUGCUGAGCAUAAAAUACCUUUAAGAGUAAGGUAUGUUGUGUAAGUGUUGCAGUGGUCCCAGAACUAAGCACUGCCAGCUCAGGCUUAAUAUUAAACCCCAAAAGAAAUCUAAAUAUGUUAAACACCACAUACACAUUUAAGAAAAGCAAAAGAACUUGUAUGCCAAGCAACAGCACCUAGAAAGAAUUUUGAACUUUCUGUUUAUGAUAUUUUUAAAAUUAAUUUCAUACUGUUCUCCAGUGUUAUCACAGGUAACCAUUUUGACCAUGAUUUGUAUAACAUGAAGCAUUUUGCUUAAAUGCAACCAAACUUCUUCAAACAUGGGCUAUGCAAGACAUUUCAGAAUAUUUUAACUGCACAGAAAGUUUACACCACUAGCGUAGCUUUGCUGUUAAAAUCCUGGACAAACAGACUGAUAGAGAUGAAAUGGCUGGGGGGGCCACCAUUUUCACCUCCUCUGACCUCCUGCAAAACAAAGGCCACGGGACUUCCUGAAUUAAUUUCUUUUCGAACUAGGACGUAUCUUUUGGGUAAACAGACAGUCAAGUGACAGACAACACACUAAAUCUGCUAAAAGUAUUUAGAAGUAUUAAUUUUAUAGACAAAACGUUUGUACUUGCAAAUCAACAGACAUUUCAUUGGAUAUUAGAAAGUUUCUGUGACUCUCUUAAUUCCAUCCACAGCAGAGAAAUGGGAUGACAAUUUUCAAUGCCAAAUAGCACUGGGUGGUAAUUGCUGUAACUCUGGCUGUGAACCUGCUCUGGAAGGCUCUGGCGGGGAGGCAGCAGAGCGUGUCAGUCAGAUGACUGACACAGGUAAUGCCCUCAGCUGCCCUGCCGGCCGCUCCAACAGCCAUCGCUGCUGCCAUGGAACGGAGGUUUCAACAUCUGGAGCAGUUCCUGAGCUGCCUCAGCGUUCAGUUUGGUGUACGAAGGCAAACGGCCAACUCUGAGACACGUGGAGCACUUCUGGGGGCUGUUAGGUUGUGCUCUCCCUGGGGCUUGUGAUGGUAAACUGCACUAACGAGGGUGUGGGAACAAGGGUAGCUGCUCUGCUCCGUGGGUUUAAUCCAUCAGCGCAUGCAGAGCAGAGUCAGGGCAUUUAAGAACCCCGAAGCUAACUAAAUAUUUGGACUUCCCUUUCUGUUGCUUUGAUUCUCCCACCGGAAGCAAUUCCUUUCCCCCCUUCCCUCUGCUGUCUCCGUAAAGUUUCAUCUUCACAGAAUACUUUUGGAUCAUUUAUUUCUGCACUUCUGUAGAUCUUUCAAGUUUUUGUUGCCAAAGAAACUGGUCCAGCACUCAGUCCCAGUGCUCCCAGUCUCAGUCGAGCACACUCCUCCCUGUCCCUCUUCACAUCAGAGCACUCUGGAUUUGUUUUCCUUUAACUUUUAUUUUCAGAGGAAAUAUCUUCACCCAAAAAUGUGAAAUCUGACUAUAUUCUGCUUAUUUCAACAUAGUUUUUAGUACGAAAUUCAUUACAGGUCACUUAAAAGUCUUCCACAUUUAGGCCAAAGUCAUGGAACUGCUCUGUUUAACCUUGUCCAGUGUUUCAUAAUAACACCUUGUUUUCAGUUGCUUGUCACUGUUUGGGCUGGUAUUCUCCAAGCCAAGCAUCUGCCUCAGGUUUAAUUUUUGGCAGUUGCUAGCUAAACCACUGUAGUAAUUCUCAAGAACAAGGUUAAAAAAAUAUUUUGCCCAUAUUAAAAAAUAAUCAUCUGGUUGCUUCAUUCAGAAGUGUCGGUAUCCCCAUUACAGUAGGAAUUUGAAAUGGAACACCAUCACUGGUCUAGUUUCACCCAUGUACCUUUUAAGCAGCAACUUGGAAUUUGGCAGCACCAUCGCUGUGGUUUCACAGAUGUGCAUCCAAAUGCAAAAAAGUUAUAAGACUCCAUAAGUUAUAAGACUCCAUAAAAUUUCAGUUUGUGCAUGAUCAGUUAAGAAUUGUUCACAUUUGGCAGCUAAAUUUUCCAAAGACCAUCCCGUGCUGAUGGAUCCUGCUGUGUGUUCCUUGGCUGCAUGGCCUGCAGGCACCAUGAGCUGCUUUUUCGGGGAGCAGCCAGGUAUGGCCUGUGCCUGAGGCAGUGGGGACCACACAGGAUUCCUCUGCAGCUUCCCCUCCUCCUUCCCCAAGAGAUCACUGCCUCUGAGACCUGGGUGUCCCUUCUGUGUGCUUUUCUCCUGCUGCUGCUGAGGCAGAGAGAAAAGAAGGAUGGGUCACAAAGAUGGAAGAGUCUGGGAGGAGGCCUGGCACCAGCAGAGGAUGGGAGUGAACACAAAGCAAAGAAGAAGGAGAUGAAGGCAGUAGAUUCCAGGGAGAGAACUAUUACUGACUAAUGCUAGGAAUUCUCCUAAGGCAUCAUGGACAGAAAUCAGUUGUGGAAGCAGUUCUGCAUGGCUGGGGGAAAAAAAGAAGAUUGUACAUAUCUACACAAAGAGAUUCUGCUAGGAAAUGAGAAAGAGUAUGGUAUAUUGGGUAAGGAGGUUAAUAAGCAUAACAGAGAUAGAAAUAAGACACCAGAGGAAAUAAUUAAGAAAAAAUAAGAGGGUGCAGAUGAAGGAAAAGAAAAUAACAUGCAGAUGAAGGAAAGGAAACUAGGAGAUGAAAAUAGAGUAUGAAGUGUGUAAGAAAGCAGGAGCCAGGGAAUGGAGAGAUGUAUAAACAAAGUGUGGAAGAGAAAGAGCUGGGAGUUACCUGAAAACAGCACAAAGGAGGAGGAGAAGGCAGGAGCCAGGCAGAAGGAAAGUUACUUGAGAGCAUCAAGGGAGAGAAAGAGUGUGAGUGCAGACUGAACUCUGAGAAGAGGCUGAUUUUUUAAGUCAGACAUCAGUGCUAAUUGUGAUUUAUCUCUAAUGGUAUAGGAAUAAGAAUCAGGUAUGAUUAGCAUCAAUGGCCACACGUUCUUUUUUCUUGUUAGAGAUCUUCUUUAUCAAAUAUUCUGGAUCUCUUGAGUCAGAGCCCCAGAGUUAAGGUGACCGAAUGUCAUUAUCUGUUUAUUUUUCAGACUUCCUCUCUCUGAUUUUAUUAACAAACAUUCAAGUGCCUAAAGUACAACAUGCUGCUCUUUUAACCACAGUAAAAAGUAUCUCUGCAAAAUACAUUUGAAAUUAAUUUUGAAAUUAUAGGUAGGGCUGCCAGCAAUGUCUCUCAGUGGCAGAGCAAAGCAAAGCCCCACGUUCGGCUCAGUGGCCUUUUCGCUGUGGGUGUUUGUCAUCCAAGAGGGCUUGUACCGUCCCCACAGUAAUUAGGCUUGCUUCAUCACAAGGGUGAGCAGCACUGCCUUGGCAAUUUUAUCUCCCACCAGCUAGGAACACCACCUGGAGAGUGGGUUUGCUGGGUGGCUUCUGCUGCCCACGGGCAGAGCAGAGGUGGAGGUCACUGAGCAGGAGCCAGGGAGGGGGUCCUGCCCCCUGGUACUGCUGGAGCUGCAGAGACACCAGUUACACUCCUCCAGUGGCAAAGCAGGGGGAAACACUGAAAAUUGCCCCUAGCAUGGUGAUUCAGCUUGCAAGCAUCUGCCAUUUAUAAGAAAAUCCAAUUUUUUAAAUAUAAAUGACAAAUGCUUCCCCACAACCAGCAUGUUUGGUCUGUCACAUUCUCUGUUAGCUGAAGGCAAGCUUUGCAGAGCUGAGCUGCUUUACUUUCCUUUUGAGAAUGAAAGUAGCACUGCUGCCAGAAGAUUGAGUUGUUGGUGUGUAUCAGGUGAUAGGAAAAAUUACUCUGAAACUGCACAUGGUCUGACAUAGUUUCAUAUGUAUAUAUAUUUGGGAGCUGCAAGUGUUGAUUUGCUGUCUAUGUAUCUGUUUGUCAUACUGAUAGCUUAAAACCACAAAUUACAUUCCUAAUAACAACUCUUAGGGGUAAGGCUGCUGUUACUACUUGGUACCUCCUAAAGAUUAAACAGAGCUAAGAGUUUAUACAUUGACCCAUUGCUUCUUCAGGCAGGUCUGUCUUCAAAUUCUGACCUACGUCCCAGCUAAAAAUGUGUUCAAUCUUUUCUUAAUUUGUAAUAGAUACUUGUGUACAUUACAAAACCAUCUUGCAAUUUGGCAAAUUAAGUUGUCUGUGGUUAGCUCUGGAAUUAUAGAGAUAUUGCAGUGCACUCAGAAUUGCAUAAUGAGGUUCCCCAGACUUUCCUUACUCGAGUGAGUAACAGUAAUCCUUAUCUCUAGCAUCAGAUUCAUCCCAUUUUUGAGAAAAGAAUUAGUAUCAAAUAUAUGAUGGGCAUGUUAUGCCUUGUGGCUGCAAUGUUGUUUCAAUUAACUUCUCUGAAUAUACCACAAUGAAAAGUGUCAGCUUUUUGCCUCAGAGGCCUAUAAUUAGAUUAAAUGAAUACUGUUAAUUAUCUACUACCUUCUUUACACAAAACAGUAUGUUUCCAUAAAUUAAAAUGCUCGUACAGGAAGGAAAUUGUUGCUCACUCCAAUGCAUGCAUACAGUGCUGGAUUGUGAAUACUGUGACUGUAUCACAGUGUAGCACAGCUCUUUGUCUGCAGCCCUUAUUUUACAGGAGCUAAAACAAAUUACAACUGAAAAAUCCACAGAUAUCACUCUAUUUAAAGUGUAUGUGUUGGUGCAAGAAAGUGAUAUUACUAAAUGCUGCAGUGCUUAUGAAACAAAUAUACUUUUCUCUUUAACAGAUGUUGUCUAUAAAAUUCCCUUAGAGAGAUUAAAUACAGCUUUGUUUGUAUACCUACA
Long non-coding RNA from Pipra filicauda (Wire-tailed manakin), 26577 nucleotides. RefSeq lists it as uncharacterized. Lineage: Eukaryota; Metazoa; Chordata; Aves; Passeriformes; Pipridae. The record is from RefSeq and is a predicted model, not a curated record. The transcript is spliced from 3 exons.